AUGGAUGCUAUCACUGUGUUUUUUAUACAAUUCCGUAUAAUCUUGGUAUCAGAGCGAAGGUUUUGGUUUGUUUUACCAAUCCUUUGGUCUUUAUUUUGAUUAUCAACAAUUCAAAAAAUUAAAAAAAUAUCCAAAAAUAGAAAGUUCUCUGUUCAUCCGAUAUUGUUAUCACUGUUUUUUGUGUGUAUAGUGCUAAAAUUCAAAUUCCUUGUUCUCUCUCUAAAGAUUUUGGUUCUGAAAUUCUAAUUUGUUCAUUUUCUAAGUUUGAACUACUGAAUUUAGGCUGAAAUUCGAAGUUACGAUUGAUUUCGAGGUCAUAAUUUGAUAUCCGGCCUUGCCGAGUUCAACGAAGAAGCUGGGUUGUUUUCAUUCUGAAAUCAGGGUUAAAAAAUGAUCGAUUGGGUGUUUCUUAAAUUCACUGGCAAGUCAAUUAUGAUAGCGAAAUCUGAAGAUUUAGAUUGUUAUGGGGCUGAUUUGUUAGGGUUUGGUCAGAAAACUUUCUAACGGAAUCUGCGAAGAUCACGACAGGCUGGGUUCUUCUGAUAACAAGGGUUAGCUCCGCAGCAGGUCUACAAGCAAGGUAAGUAGGUCCAUUACCAGCCGGCUCCGGACCGAAAAGACCUAGUCUUGUCUAGAAAUUAAUCGUUGGGGAUUGUUUUUGUGUUGAAUGGAGCUCGUAUAUCAAAUUUGAACUCGUUGUGUGAAGAUUUGAGUGAGAUUGAACUGAGAAUUUUUUGCGGAGCUUGAAUCAGUCGAAGAACACUUGUUUCCAUUGAAGAUCUUCCCGAACUGAUUCGAGUCGAUUCGAGCAGCUGGUAAAUCGAAGAGGACGCCUGUAGAGCUGAUUCGAGUUGAUUUUAGGUUGAAAUUUUUUUGGAGUCGAUUCUCUCAAGACGACGAAGAACAGCUGCCACUGAUUUGCAACUGAAAAUUGCAGCUGUGUUCUCCAUUUUCUAGGACUCGUUUGCAACUGAAUUAUCACCACGAACUUCCAAUUCAUUCGUCACAACGAUUCAGGAAUUUGAGUUGAUUAUCUCUGCUUGAGCCGAAAUUUGUCUUCGUAUCUACUGAUUGGGAUGAAUGUGAGAAUGGUAAAUCGCUUUAGAGUGUCCUGUUGCUAUAGUCGAAGUUUGAAGUGAAUAUCUUCUGAAGUUCUGCUGAAAUUUUGCUCUAGUUGCUCAAAAACCUCGACUACAUUUCUGAGUUGAGACUGAAUUGUUUGAGUUUUAACUGGUUGUUAGCUGCUGCAAGUUUGAAAUCGAAUUUGAGAAGUUUUGUGGAGUUAAAGUGGAUAAGUUGCUUUGUGUUGUUGAUAAUUCAAGUAUUAAACAAAGAAGUUUGGGAGCAAGUUUCUGGAAAGUGAGGUUGUAUUCUUACUGCUGAAGUUUGGUAGGGUGAGAGAGGUUGUUUUAUGACUGCAGUUUGCUGUCCAGUUAAGUUGCUGAAAAUUCUGUACUUUUAUCUUGGUUCUGCACUGUGGAGUUUUCCAGUUAUUGUUGUUUGGAUUUCUGAAAAUUUUGAUAGUACACUGCUGAACAUUAAUAGCACUUAAAAUGGAAAUUUCACCAAUUUUGGACAAUCCAAUUUUCAGGUCUCUUUGUGAUCAGUCUUGAGACUGCUACACUAUUUGGACUGCUUAAUCUACAUAAAAUUCUGCACUGUCUACAGCUAGAAAAUCUAGUUUUGCACCCUAUUUGUGCAAGUUAAAGACAACACAGUUUUGCGCAAAUGUUUCUGCACAGCUUGGGCUGAAACCUCUGCACUGUUGCAACAUAUAUUUCUGCUCUGUUGAGCUGCUGAAAAUCUGCAGUAUUUGAAACAAUUUCUACACAUGUUUUGUUCCAGUUUUGUAACCGUAUUUGAGCUGCAUUUUAUCUCCAUAGUUAGGCAUAGCUACGGCAUAUACUACUGUCUUGUUUCUUUUAUUGUUUGAGCUGCUGAAACUGCAAUUUUCGACUAGCACUGGAGCUAAGAAACUUUGCAGUUUUAUGCCCUGUUUCUGCACUCUUUGCGCAGAAAAAUCUGCACAAUUUGGAUUGAAUCUUCUGCACUGCUGCAAACAGUCCAGCUUCUGCUGCAUUAUUUUGCACCAAAGGUACCAGUUAGCUGCUGAUUGUCAGUGAUGGUUCUUGAACAUUGUUGCUGAGUCAAUUUGAAAUUGUGAAACCUGCAACUUGCUUGAGAAUAACAAGUUGGUUGUUAGCUGAUUGAUUAAGGUUCUGUUUGUUGAAGCUAACGGUUCAGAGAGGUUCCAAGAAUCAAAUACAUUCUUAGUACAACUAAUUUUCUACACUGAUUGAACUUGAAAGAAGUUGCAGACCUGAUCAAGUUUCAGCAUUGUUCCGGCACUAUGGAGCUGUGUUUGGGAGCCAAUUGAACUGUAAAUUGAGUUGAAAAUCUACAGUAUUUUGAGUAGUAAACCUGCCCUGUUUCUACUAUGAUUGGUUCCAAAAUUGCUGACUUUGUUUCUGCUAUGGACUGAAAGGUUGAGCAUAGUAUCAAUUCCAGAAGAUUGCAACAAGUCCAGAAGUUUCUCCCUAGUUCUCUUUUCUUUCCGGUUAAUCUUUUCUUCUUGUUUGUUAAUUCUUAACUAGAUUAACUUGAUAUUAGUUCAUAUUAAGUUUAAUUCUAGUUUCUUGUGUGCUUUGUGUAUUUCAUGCCAAUUGUUUCGUGCUUUUAUCUUUUACUUUCGUUGUGAAUUACUUGGGUCAAGUCUGUUUGCUUUUAAUUGUCCGUCCUUGUGAAUACACAACUUCCACUCCACCCCGAAGACGGUUGGAACUUGUUGUGAAACCUUGGGACAUAAGUUUGCUAGCAAUUUUGACAUUCACUACUUGAGCGGAAAAAGGCAAGAGUGAAUAGGACUUUGAGCACACAAGAGCCAAUUGGUGCAAAGUGUGAUACACGAGGGUUGAGCGACAUCAAGUGAGUUGGUGAGGACUUUUACUACUAACUUGUUUGCUCGUUUUGUAGGUAUCAUGUAGUACGGACAAACUUCUAGUCCUACUUGUUAUCCAAGGAAUGAGACUCCGAUGCAUGAAGUUGUUUCUAUGCUUUAUGACAUAAGCGAGAAGGUUACCAACUUAAGUGAGAAGGUUACCAAUAUUACCAUAUGGAAAUACCAAAUGGAUGCAAGGUUGAAUUCCAUGAUAGAGGAAUCUCACUUGAGGCAACAAGGAAAGGAGCGUAGUAUGACGCGUACUAAUUCCUCUACUACACCCUAUCCUUCACAAGUGCGACAAAUGCUUCAAAGGAAAAAUUUGCAACAAAACCAACCCAACCAAAUACCACAAAACUUACCAAAGCGACCACAUUCACCAAAGGGACCUAGGGACCUUCUUUUCCUCCACCAAACUACCGUCCACCUACCAACUACCAACACCCAACACAAACCACCAUUGAGACUUCAAGCACACAUACCCAUAAUUCCACCACCCCAAUGACCCAACCUAGACCACCAAUGGAUCUACCUCCCAAACGUAUGCCUCAAGAACCACCAAGGAGGGACAAUCUCCCUCCUCCACCACCCAUACCACCUCAAGAGCCUCGAAUGAUUAAUAACCCACUUUUUCAAUAUGAUCAUGAGACCACCUUGAAUGAGUUGGACAACAUCCAACAAGUUUUCCAUGAUAAAUAUAGGGGUAAUAAAGUGAACCAAAGGGGAAGAGGCCAAAUGAUUUUGAGAACAUCCUUGAAAAAUGCAAAGAGAAAAAGUAAGGAUGAGAGACAAAAGAUAGAGAGAAGUAAGGGAGAGAAAAGUGACAACUCUAAAAUGGAAAAAGGAAAGAAAGUGUGGAGUGAAGUAAGUGAGUUGUCACAAGAAAAGAAUGAAGAGCUUGAAAAGAAAAUGAGAAAAAAGAAAGAGGGAAAACAAAAAAGAGUGAGGAUUUUCCUUAUUCUAAUGCUAAUAACCUUUCUUCUUUCUCUAGUUGUUUUGUAUCUUGUGAAGGAAUUUUAGGAGAUGAGCCAUCAAGUGAAGUUCAAUCUACUUUAAUGAACUUGGAAGAAGAUAAAGCUACCUUUUCAAGAGCUUUUGAAAUUUAAUGAAGAAGUUCAAGGUAAAGAGAAUUUCACUUUAGAAGAGCUUCAAGGUAAAAUAGCUUAUCCUUCUACUCAUGAUACUUUAAUUGAUUGUGGCGACACUUUGAGUUUGAAAGAUAGCUAUGACAUUGAUGAGUUUGAUACUUCUUUAUCUUGUAAUGAGAAAAAUAGUUAUGGCUUGCAACUGGAUAGGAGUUCUUGUGCAUCAUUAGAUGAUUCUGGUUCUUUGUUUAAUGGCUCCUUAGCUAGUGAUGUUGUGAUGUUGAAUCUUAUGAUACCCCACCUUUAUGGGAUGAUACAUGUGAUGGUUCUUUUGACUCUACUUUAACUUUGAUGGAAGAUAGUUUUGACCUUUAUGAAGUAAUGAGUCAAGAAGAAUGUGUUGAUUAUUAUUCUUUAGGUUCUAUUUUCAUUCCUUUGGCAAAAAGAUUCAAUUUUUGUGGUGAAAUGAGCAAACGUGAGUGUGGAGAUGCAUUGUUGGAGAGUGAACCAUUUAGUUAUAAUGACAUAAAUAUAAAAGAAGGAAACUUCCAUUUGUAUUCCAAUGAGUUGACUUCUCUUGUAUUUGAUCUUGAUUACUCUUAUGCAAAUUUAUGUGAUGAUUUUUUUGAGUGUGAAAAGGAACAUAAAGUUUUUGAUGCUAGAACUAGUAUUAAUUGCUUUUCUUAUCUUAUUCCUAAUUUUGAAAGAACAUUCUCUUUUGCUAAUGCUUCUAUGAGAAAAGGUAAGAAUGUUUGUUUUGGUGUUUUUAGUAACCAUUUUGAGCAAAAAGAACCUAUGUUUUGUGAAGGGUUCAACAAGAGAAAGUUGCUAAGGGUAAGAAAGGCCUUGAACUAACACUUUGGCAUACUUUUUGUCAAGAGCUUUUUUUUGCCCAAAAGCAAGAAUGGUAUGUACGUUUGGCUUAUGCUUAUCUUGUGUUUAUCUAAGUCCAGACUUUUAACUUUGAGUAUUGUGAUAUUCUUUAUAUGAUGAUUCAUGAUGAGCUUGGCAUAUCUCUUAAGUUGACAUGUGAAGUUGUUGGAAAGUGUGUAGAUAUUUGGGGAUUAAAAUUUGUGUUUGACCCCGGAAUUGCUUCUUAUCUUGGUGAAGUGUCUUUGUUUGGGUUGGAGAGUAUGAUUUUUAUGCUUCUUAUGACACUUGGUUAUACUAUAAAAGUGUGCCCUUUGUUGAGGAUCUUACAAGGUUGUGGUUUUGUUGGAAGCAUGAAACUUUAGACUCUCUUGAUUCUUUCAUGAGUAUUAUUUUUCUUAUAAUCAGGUUUGUGUUGGAGUUGUGUUCUUUAUAGAUUAUGACACUUGGCUAUAUCAUAAGAGUGUUACUUUUGAGUGCCAAAUUGCGAUCUUUGAUCUUUUAGCUUGGACAUACAAUGCUUUGAUUCUUGUGAUUGGCUUGGUACUUAUGUUUGCCUCUUUCUUGGUUUUGCAAGGUCCAAAUUCGAGGAUGAAUUUCUUCAAGUGGGGGAGGAUGAUACAUGCCGGAUGAGCAUGCCUAACUAUUUCCAAGUCAACAUCAUAGCAUUGGAGUGCUUUAAAGGAGUCAAGAUCAAAAAGGCUAUACUUGUAAUAAUUGAGUAAGCUCCUUAGAAUUAACUUAGCCCUUAAGGCUUUUAUUGUGGGUUAUUUGUAGCUAAAUACCUACUCCAGUAUAAAUAGCCCUUAAGGCUUUUAUUUUAGGUAGACUUGAUGAAUUAUAAACUUGAAGACAUGCAAGUCUCACCUUUUAUCCUUAUCUUUUAAUUAAUGCAUUUUUGUUUACGCC
Molecule: long non-coding RNA, 5802 nt
Organism: Nicotiana attenuata
Lineage: Eukaryota; Viridiplantae; Streptophyta; Magnoliopsida; Solanales; Solanaceae
Exons: 2
Source: RefSeq, a predicted model, not a curated record